This 634-nucleotide ribosomal RNA is filed under the name Microbacteriaceae bacterium Ri2Pt_4010. RNAcentral describes it as "bacterial SSU rRNA". It matches the Rfam family "Bacterial small subunit ribosomal RNA", at positions 380 to 1025 of the family's 1533-position model. Lineage: Bacteria; Bacillati; Actinomycetota; Actinomycetes; Micrococcales; Microbacteriaceae. The record is from RNAcentral.
AGCCUGAUGCAGCAACGCCGCGUGAGGGAUGACGGCCUUCGGGUUGUAAACUUCUUUUAGUAGGGAAGAAGCGAAAGUGACGGUACCUGCAGAAAAAGCACCGGCUAACUACGUGCCAGCAGCCGCGGUAAUACGUAGGGUGCAAGCGUUGUCCGGAAUUAUUGGGCGUAAAGAGCUCGUAGGCGGUUUGUCGCGUCUGCUGUGAAAUCUGGGGGCUCAACCCCCAGCCUGCAGUGGGUACGGGCAGACUAGAGUGCGGUAGGGGAGAUUGGAAUUCCUGGUGUAGCGGUGGAAUGCGCAGAUAUCAGGAGGAACACCGAUGGCGAAGGCAGAUCUCUGGGCCGUAACUGACGCUGAGGAGCGAAAGCAUGGGGAGCGAACAGGAUUAGAUACCCUGGUAGUCCAUGCCGUAAACGUUGGGAACUAGAUGUGGGGGCCAUUCCACGGUCUCCGUGUCGCAGCUAACGCAUUAAGUUCCCCGCCUGGGGAGUACGGCCGCAAGGCUAAAACUCAAAGGAAUUGACGGGGGCCCGCACAAGCGGCGGAGCAUGCGGAUUAAUUCGAUGCAACGCGAAGAACCUUACCAAGGCUUGACAUAUACCGGAAACGUCCAGAGAUGGUCGCCCCGCAAGGU